AGGACGUGAUAAGCUGCGAUAAGCUUCGGGUAGGCGCACAUAGCCAGUGAUCCGAAGAUUUCCGAAUGAGGGAACUCACAUGGGAAACCCCAUGUAUCCUGUAGUGAAUAAAUAGCUGCAGGAAGGUAAACCUAGGGAACUGAAACAUCUAAGUACCUAGAGGAAGAGAAAGAAAAAUCGAUUUUCUUAGUAGCGGCGAGCGAAAGGGAAAGAGCCCAAACCAGAGAUUUAUCUCUGGGGUUGCGGACAGAACAUUAAAUAAACUAAUUUGUAACCGAAGACAACUGGAAAGUUGUGCCGUAGAGUGUAAUAGCCACGUAGGUGAAACGAAGAGGUUUAGAGUUNNNNNNNNNNNNNNN
Clostridium sp. 7_2_43FAA is the source of this 359-nucleotide ribosomal RNA. It matches the Rfam family "Archaeal large subunit ribosomal RNA", at positions 53 to 460 of the family's 2987-position model. The record is from Rfam. NCBI's taxonomy places the organism in Bacteria, Bacillati, Bacillota, Clostridia, Eubacteriales, Clostridiaceae.